UAUGCACAGGAUGACUGGAUGAAGGUAUUUGGAUCUGUUCGGAUCUGAACUUUAUUGUCCUGCUGUUCAUUAUGAGGUUAUUUGUACACACUGUAUUAUUGUGAUUUUGGAAUAUGUCAGGUGUAUCUCAUAUUUGUUAUGCUUUGUGAAGAUAUAAAUAAAAUAUUUGGCAUUUACAGAUUUGUAGUUUUCAGUUUGAUGAAGAGCUCAAAUAUCACUUGUCCUUGUGUGGUGAAAAUAAAUUCAGUAUAUUCAGCAGUGUGCCAACUUUAUGUGCUUUACACAUGUAUUUUAAGUCAUUUCUGUAUCAUUUCUGAAGCUGACAGACAUUCCACAAAUAUACUGGAUUAAUUGAACUAUAGUCUAAUUGAACAAAUGCAUGAAUGUUGUAGGCUAUAAUAUAAAAUAGAUCUUACAAUUUAUUUUACAAAUAAAAGUACAAAAAGAGUAGCUCUUUUUUCUGUUAAGUUUCUCUCUGACCAAUUUAUCAAUCGCCUCUCACUGUUUAAACUGCAGUGUGACUUUUACAACCAAUGUAUUCUGAAUAACAUCACAGAUUUUUAAACUAAAUUUUAGCCUACUCAAAGCAUCUUGCCAACACAGACAAUCUGUGAAACAUCUUCACCUGUUCAGCAUCUGUUUAAAUCCACACAAGCCACUUUAAACCGAGUGCCACUGAGGAAGAGCCUCUUACUGUGAGAUCUGCUCUGGAGAAGCCUUUAAUAAACCAGGGUUAAAUUACAUGUGUUUAAUGUUGUCUAACCCAUGAUUGGUUUAACUUGUGUGAAAAACCUUCUUGUGAUAGUGAUGUGACGAGAUAAAGAGGAAACCACAAGGCCAUCAUCAUAUCUUCUGAUUGGCAGAUGCAGUUCAUAAUUCAUCAAACUCCUGGAUGACAGAUGUAGACAUGGCGAUGUCUGGAAUGAUAACAUUUGUGUUGUUAGUAGUCUUAAUAGGUUGUUUAAAUGGACAAAAUAUUCCUACGCAUCCUGACCGUGUGACGAUUAAGACAAAGGGUAGAACUGCUGUAAUCACAUGCCAGGUGGAUUCAUCGACGCUUCAGUCCAGCGCUCUCCACUGGUACAGAGCUCAGUCAGGGGGAGCUUUCCAACGAUUAAUAUAUUUCGAUGCUGGAUCGACAAAAGCCAAAAUCGAUGGGGAUAAUAAGAAAAAAUAUGCUGGAUCGGUGAGAAAUGACCAAGUGUCACUGACUAUCUCAACACUGACGCUCCAAGAUACAGGAUCAUAUUACUGCGCGCUCUAUACUGGAGACAACACAGUGCUAACUGUAAGAGGAAAUCAUUACAAAAACCUGCUUUCAUAAUCAAAGCGGUUUAUGUGGAACAACAGUAGCAGCAAGGGGGAGACAUGCGGAAUAUUUUAAUUGUGGCGUUACUUUUUGUUUCCAGUAUGUCAUAAAAACAAUUUUAAAUGUUCAAAAAAAAGUGUCUCAGAAGAACCCUAAACACAAUACUGUACCAAACACAGAGACUGUUAACAAUAGGCUACAAUAAAACCGUUUCUUCCACUUCAGGCUAGUCAUCUUUAUAGGCUAUCCCAUAGGUUAAUCUUUAGCUAUUAAAAUAAAAAGCAUUUUCUUUUUGUUAAAUGAAGGUAACAUUUAUAAAUUACUUGCAAACGUUUUAUCAUGUCUUGAUUCUUAUGUAAAAUGCCUUUUGUGAAUAUAUUUUCUUUUUAAUUUACACUUGUCACAAACUCAGAUCUCAAUCUUAAUUUAUGGAAAAAACAUUUUACAUUUAAAAUAGCAAUGGGGAUUACAGUAAUCUUAGUUAAACAAUAUAGGCUCAUUUGACCAUUUGUUGUGUGAAAUUUAUUUUUAAAUACAUUUUUAUAUAUAUAUAUAUAUAUAUAUAUAUAUAUAUAUAUAUAUAUAUAUAUAUUCAAACCGUCCCACAGCUGUGACAUCACUUCCUCCACUAUCAAAUGUUUUGCCUGUAAUAAAGUUCUAUCAAAAAUGAA
Molecule: long non-coding RNA, 1980 nt
Organism: Ctenopharyngodon idella (grass carp)
Lineage: Eukaryota; Metazoa; Chordata; Actinopteri; Cypriniformes; Xenocyprididae
Exons: 2
Source: RefSeq, a predicted model, not a curated record